This is a long non-coding RNA of Anolis carolinensis (green anole), 1616 nucleotides long. Lineage: Eukaryota; Metazoa; Chordata; Lepidosauria; Squamata; Anolidae. The record is from Ensembl.
AUAACUAGAUUCACCUUGGACUCAGUGACAAAUGGUGAUCUUUGAUUCUUCCUAGUUUGCAAUAUGGAUUUCAGCAAACUUGAAUGCUUAAUUCACAUAUACGGGUCACAGCAGCAGUUAAGCAUUACCAGCCACCUGCAAAACUUGGCACCCCAGAAGAUGUAUGACAAGGAGUUGAAUAUUGGACUUGCCUUGCCCUCUAAUUGGAUUCAGAUGGUGAGUGCAAUUGAAUGGGUGGUGUUGAGAGUGGGGAUUCCACUUAGGAAGGUGAAUGCUCUUUGCCCAUGGGAGCAGGUUUGUUUCUGUCUUGUGUCUGUGAUAUUGCUCUUCAGGCUGACUAGCUACUACCCUGUUUUCCCGAAAAUAAGACAUCCCCGAAAAAUAAGACCUAGUAGAAGUUUUGCUGAAUUGCUAAAUAUAGGGCCUCCCCCGAAAGUAAAACCUAGCAGUUUUUGUUUGGAAGCAUGCCCAGUGCCUGCGAAUCAGAACACCAGAGCAUGCAGGAUUGGUAAAUGUACAUACCAGUUGUACAUGGAAAGAAUGGUAGUAACAAGAAAUUAUUGAUAGGAUUCACAGUUUUUCUGGUUAUGCUCGUUUGUGAUGAUAACUACUGUACAGUAUAUAAUAAAUGUUCAUUUUUUUGUUCAACAAUAAAUGUGAAUUCUUCUUCAUGGAAAAAUAAGACAUCCCCUGAAAAUAAGACCUAGCACAUCUUUGGGAGCAAAAAUUAAAUAAGACACUGUCUUAUUUUCGGGGAAACACGGUAGCUUGUAUAUUUGGUGUUUUCCAUUGCUGGAAUUUACCACAUUUAUUUUGGAAAAUCCAGAUGAAGUAAUUCCUUUCUUAUUUAAAUAUAGCUCAUUUUACCAAAUGUUUUAGUACAUUUCAUAUUCCAAAUAUAUGUUCAGUUAUUGUUGCACUUUCUUCUGCUUGGUAGUAGUGCCUUACGAUAUGGGCUGUGAAUGCUAACUUUUCAUGGUUUUGCAGCUUGCUACCUGUCCCUGACUCGUUUUCUGUGUUGACCAAUAUGUCUCCAGGGAAACUAGUGAUCUUCCUGUAGAGAGAGCUUUUUUAAAAAAUAUAUCUUGACAACUUUAUUAAUAUUGUAAUGCAUUGGUAUGGCACAUUACUCUGUUUUUCUGCAGGAUCACUCCAUAGUUUCAACCCCCACACACAUUUUUUCUUAGCCGAAGAAAAAUAGUUACCACUGUAGUCGUUCACAGCAAUGCUGCUAAAGUUCUAGACAUAUACUUUUCAAAAUGUAAGGUACUACAUAUAGGAAAGAAAAGUGAAAUGCCCAAAUAUGGGAUGGGUGACAUUGAGCUUGACAACAACACAUGUAAAAAGGUCUAGAGUUCUUUGUAGACCACAAGCUACACAUGAGUCAAUAGUGCAAUGUAGAGUCACAUAAUCUAUUAAAGCAGGCUGGAACUGGUAUCUCAAACACUGAUUCUGGUCCACUUCGCAGCCUGUCACAAAUGUUUUCAGGCACCUCAGCAUCUACAGAGCCUCUCUGCAGCUCAACCAUUCUGAAUGUGAUUCAGCCAUCCUACGUCCUCCACAUAGGAACCAGCUGCAGGUAUCUGUACUACCAUAACUCAAUGGACAAUCUAAAU